CCCUUAGAUGUUCUGGGCCGCACGCGCGCUACACUGUUCGACGCAGCGAGUCUUAACCUUGACCGAAAGGUUUGGGUAAUCUUCAGCAAAGUCGAACGUGAUGGGGAUCGGUCAUUGCAAUUAUUGAUCGUGAACGAGGAAUUCCUAGUAAGUGCAAGUCAUCAGCUUGCGCUGAUUACGUCCCUGCCCUUUGUACACACCGCCCGUCGCUACUACCGAUUGAAUGGUUUAGUGAGAUCUCUGGAUUGACGCUGGCUAGGGGGCGACCCUUGGCCAGACUGUUGAGAAACUGCUCAAACUUGAUCAUUUAGAGGAAGUAAAAGUCGUAACA
RNAcentral lists this ribosomal RNA (331 nucleotides) under uncultured eukaryote. RNAcentral describes it as "partial 18S ribosomal RNA". It matches the Rfam family "Eukaryotic small subunit ribosomal RNA", at positions 1470 to 1796 of the family's 1831-position model. The record is from RNAcentral.